CAUUGUUUGGCCCAAUUCUGAUGUCGUCGGGCGUCUUGUUUGUACGCGCGAAAGCGUGCACGUCUGAUUGUGGCGGUGCGAUUCCGCCAUCACUGUC
RNAcentral lists this transfer RNA (97 nucleotides) under Mariniblastus fucicola. Its description in RNAcentral is "tRNA-Asn". Lineage: Bacteria; Pseudomonadati; Planctomycetota; Planctomycetia; Pirellulales; Pirellulaceae. The record is from RNAcentral.